RNAcentral lists this ribosomal RNA (395 nucleotides) under uncultured bacterium. Its description in RNAcentral is "partial 16S ribosomal RNA". It matches the Rfam family "Bacterial small subunit ribosomal RNA", at positions 523 to 918 of the family's 1533-position model. The record is from RNAcentral.
AUACGUAGGGUGCAAGCGUUAAUCGGAAUUACUGGGCGUAAAGCGUGCGCAGGCGGUUUUGUAAGACAGUGGUGAAAUCCCCGGGCUCAACCUGGGAACUGCCAUUGUGACUGCAAGGCUGGGGGGCGGCAGAGGGGGAUGGAAUUCCGCGGGUAGCAGGGAAAUGCGUAGAUAUGCGGAGGAACACCGAUGGCGAAGGCAAUCCCCUGGGCCUGCACUGACGCUCAUGCACGAAAGCGUGGGGAGCAAACAGGAUUAGAUACCCUGGUAGUCCACGCCCUAAACGAUGUCAACUGGUUGUUGGGGAUUUAUUUUCUCAGUAACGAAGCUAACGCGUGAAGUUGACCGCCUGGGGAGUACGGCCGCAAGGUUAAAACUCAAAGGAAUUGACGGGG